GGAUGUGAAGGCCAUCUGGCUGUGACAUCUGUCACCUGAUUGAUCACCAGGGUUGAUUCCCCUGAUCUGGCUGGGUAGGCAGGUGCCCCUUCCUCCUUCACCAUCCCAUGUGCAUUCCCCGCUUCACCCCCCCCCCCCGCAGCAGCACACAAAGUCAAAGGGGAAGACCUUUCCUGGACUAGAGGAUGACCCGUCUCCGGUCAAGGGUAUACAAGUACUUAUGGUCCCUGCUAGAAUCUCUAAACAAGCUCUCGGAUGGCGGUGACCACAGAAAGACUCAAAACUCAACCAAGCACUGAGAAGAGAUGGUGAAGUGUUCUGCACUGAGAUCGAUCUCUGUCGUAUCUU
This 348-nucleotide small nuclear RNA is filed under the name Jaculus jaculus (lesser Egyptian jerboa). Its description in RNAcentral is "7SK RNA (ENSJJAG00000008875.1)". It matches the Rfam family "7SK RNA". Rfam says of the family: 7SK was discovered as an abundant small nuclear RNA in the mid-70s but a possible function has only recently been suggested. Two independent studies have found that 7SK RNA binds the CDK9/cyclin T complex (known as elongation factor P-TEFb). Lineage: Eukaryota; Metazoa; Chordata; Mammalia; Rodentia; Dipodidae. The record is from Rfam by way of RNAcentral.